ACUAAAACAACUCACAUAUUCCACACAAAAGACUUAUAUCAGAUGUAAAAUCCUCAUGCAACCUAACCCCUAACUAGGUUAAUAAGCAAGCAUCAAAACUUAAGGAAAUCACCAAAACUUUGACCUUUCAUCAAGAAUGCUCAAAGCUUUAAUGCUCAACACAUAACCUCUUGGAUUCAAUCACUACAACUAUGGCUUUCAGAAAUUCCACCAAUCGUAACCUCCUAAUACACUCGAUAAAUCAAUGUCUCACCUACAUUCAAGGUUCUAAUCACUACUACAAAAUUACCAUUUUACAUCUUUACAUUUACAUCGGUUCCUCUAUAAACGAUGUAAAUAAGAAACACGGUGGCAGUUUUGUAAAUAAAUUGAAGAUAUAAACCAUUCUACAUCGGGUCUAUAUCUGACCGAUGUAAAAAUAGAAUAUCUACAUCGGGUUUUGCAUUUAACCGAUGUAAAACCAAAGCCAAAUUUUUGCGGCCCUUCACCCUCUCUCGCGGGCUCUCCAUAGAACACAUAUGCUCGCUGGAGGCACCCCACUCGGGGCCGUCUCACCCAACCAAACCCCUCACACCACAUGCCGCCAAACAACCCUUCCCUCCGCCGCUGCCCCGCGGCGCCACCACCGUACGAACCUCGAUUUAGUGGAACACGAACAACAGGAGGUGCUUGGUUGCGAAUGGCGUCCACCGCAACACGUCGUCGACGGCCCCAUGAUGAGCCUAAUUAGCAAGCGCCUUCGCGCCCUCCGCAAGAAGCUGAACCAUCAACGCCAUGGAGGACUCCGUUUCCCAAGGGAAGCCGCUCAACAAGGAGCAGGAGGAGGUCCUCCACUCUAAGCCCUCCGUCCUGCCCUCAUCGACGAGCUCGAGAAGCUCCGCCAGCCUCUCGCCUCCACCCUCGCUGAGGAGCUCGAAGCCUCCACCGCGCACACCCGCCGCGGCACCGAAACCCUAGCCGAGAACUCCAGCUCCAGCGCCCGGUCGAUUCCAGCUUCUCGCACAAGAACGCACUCCAGUGCUGCGUGGAACACGCCAAGCUGUGGCUCGCCAAGUCUGAGCAGUCCAUUGGACCUGAUGCUGAUGUCACUUUUAGGCUUCUGUUGGGUUAUUUGAUGUAUUAUUCUGAUGUUUUUGUGGUUGUGUAGUGGCUCGUUUUGACUUUUCAUGGCAUGACCUUGAGUAUCACCAGUAGACUUUAGAGAAUUUGAAGAUUGCUGUCAAGAGUUCUAAGAAAUUAUUUGCUGUUAUGCUGGACACGGUGGGUGCAGGGAUGCAGGUUGUUUACAAAAGCGGGAAAGCAAUCUCACUUGAGGCAAAUGCUCAAGUUGUUCUAACUCCUGAUCAGGGACAAGAAGCCUCUUUAGAAAUAUUGCCCAUCAAUUUUGAUGGAUUGGCAAAGGCAGUGAAGAAGGGGGACAUUAUUUUUAUUGGACAAUACCUGUUCACAGGAAGUGAAACUACUUCUGUAUGGCUAGAGAAGGUUGCAGUUGCUGCUAUGGAUUGCCAAAGUCUCGACGUUGCCAAGGUGUAUUCAAAUCUGAAUGGCAACAGGUCUCGUGUGGUGAACACUGGGUGGGCAAUGCUGGCUCUCAUUGAUGCUGGACAGAUGAAGAAUGGAUAGGAGUUCCUCCUAACUGACACUGUUGGUUUUAUUCAGAAUUUACCUACUACACUAGUUGCUGCCUUCAGAGCUACACUGGAGGAGAUAGCAGAGUCAUCACUCUUGGUGCAUGUUGUUGACAUCAGGUUAUAUACAUACAAGUGAAACUGCUGUGAGGAACUUUAUUUUUAGAGAAAAGAAAGUUAGUGAAAUUAGUGGUGUUGACUUUGGAUUUCGUUAAUUAUUUUUUUGAAUUGCAAUCACCCCCUAGCUGAGCAGCAGAUAAAUGUUGUGGACAAAGUCUUGUCAGAACUAGAUGUAUCAUCAAUUCCAAGAUUGAUGGUUUGGAACAGGUAUUGAUGAACAUUUUUGUUGCUUU
This is a non-coding RNA of Cajanus cajan (pigeon pea), 1981 nucleotides long. The record is from RefSeq and is a predicted model, not a curated record. NCBI's taxonomy places the organism in Eukaryota, Viridiplantae, Streptophyta, Magnoliopsida, Fabales, Fabaceae.